GGUCAAGCUACAAAGAGUGCAAGGGGAAUGCCUUGGCGCUGGGAGCCGACGAAGGACGCAGCGAUCUGCGAUAAGCCACGGGGAGCCGAAAGCAGGCAUCGAUCCGUGGGUUUCCGAAUGGGGCAACCCGGCUGGCGAAGAGCCAGUCAGCGUGCAGUGAAUACAUAGCUGCACGCGGGGAACCGCCUGAACUGAAACAUCUAAGUAGGGCGAGGAAAAGAAAUCAACAGAGAUUCCGCUAGUAGUGGCGAGCGAACGCGGAAAAGGCCAAACCAGGGGUAGUAAUAUCCCUGGGGUUCGGACGGCAGAAUGCAUCAGCAAGUUUUAGCCGAAGCGCAUGGGACGGCGCACCAGAGAGAGUGAGAGUCUCGUAGGCGAAAAGAUGAGCUGGCAGGCCGUAUCCAGAGUACCGCCGGUCACGUGGAACCCGGUGGGAACAUGGGGGGACCAUCCUCCAAGCCUAAAUACUACCCAGCGACCGAUAGUGAACCAGUACUGUGAAGGAACGGUGAAAAGAACCCCGGGAGGGGAGUGAAAAGAACCUGAAACCUUGCACUUACAAGCACCGAGAGCCCGUCAAUGGGUGAUCGGGUACCUUUUGUAGAAUGGUCCGGCGAGUGAAUGUAACCGGCAGGUUAAGCACCUCAGGUGCGUAGCCGCAGCGAAAGCGAGUCUGAAUAGGGCGCUUGCGUCGGUUGUAUUCGACCCGAAACCGGGUGACCUAGCCAUGCCCAGGCUGAAGUGGAGGUAAAACUCCAUGGAGGGCCGAACCCACUCCCGUUGAAAUGGUAGGGGAUGAGGUGUGGCUAGCGGAGAAAUUCCAAUCGAACCCGGAGAUAGCUGGUUCUCUCCGAAAUAGCUUUAGGGCUAGCCUCGGUAUUAACAUUCCCGGAGGUAGAGCACUGAAUGAGCUAGGGGCCGAGAGGUUACCGAACUCUAUCAAACUCCGAAUGCCGGUGAAUGAUGACCGGGAGUCAGACUGCGUGAGAUAAGUUUCGCAGUCGAAAGGGAAACAGCCCAGACCCACAGCUAAGGUCCCAAAGCAGAUUUAAGUGGAAAAGGAUGUGGGGUUGCACAGACAACCAGGAUGUUGGCUUAGAAGCAGCCAUACAUUUAAAGAGUGCGUAAUAGCUCACUGGUCGAGUGACCCUGCGCCGAAAAUUUAACGGGGCUCAAAAUCUGCACCGAAGCUUGGGAUGCGAAGCAAUUAACAAUGAUCAAUUCACAAUGAACCAUCGGGCGGCGGGAUGAAAACGAAACAUCCUGUGAAGGCGAAACGCAUGGCUUGCGCGAUGCGAAGGCCGCGCGUGAUGGAUUGUCAAUUGCCAAUUGUUAAUUGCUUUGCGUGGUAGGAGAGCGUUCUUUGCGGGGUGAAGUCAGAACGUAAGUGCUGGUGGACUGCAAAGAAGAGAGAAUGCCGGAAUGAGUAGCGAGAUUUAUGUGAGAAUCAUAAAGGCCGAAAGACUAAGGUUUCAGCAGGAAGGUUCGUCCGCUGCUGGUUAGCCGGGGGCUAAGGCGAGGCCGAAAGGCGUAGCCGAUGCACAUACGGUUGAAAUUCCGUAGCCGCCGAAAGAGUUAAGCCAAGGGACACCGGGAAAGUGUAGCGAAUGGGCGUUGGUUGCCCCGUUUGAUGCAUGGCCCCGGGCGAGAAAAGCUUGGUGUAUUUCUCAGGCGCCCGUACCGCAAACCGACACAGGUAGUCAGGAAGAGGAUUCUAAGGCCAACGGGAGAAGGGUAGUUAAGGAACUCGGCAAAUUGACCCCGUAACUUCGGAAUAAGGGGUGCCAGCGUGAGCUGGCCGCAGUGAAUAGGUCCAGGCGACUGUUUAUCAAAAACACAGCUCUCUGCUAAGUCGAAAGACGAUGUAUAGGGGGUGACACCUGCCCGGUGCUGGAAGGUUAAGAGGAGGGGUGCAAGCUCUGAAUUGAAGCCCCAGUAAACGGCGGCCGUAACUAUAACGGUCCUAAGGUAGCGAAAUUCCUUGUCGGGUAAGUUCCGACCCGCACGAAUGGUGUAACGAUCUGGACGCUGUCUCAACUGCCCGCCCGGCGAAAUUGUAGUACCGGUGAAGAUGCCGGUUACCCGCGGCAAGACGGAAAGACCCCAUGGAGCUUUACUGUAGCCUGAUAUUGGGUUUUGGUAUUUUAUGUACAGGAUAGGCGGGAGGCUUUGAAGCGAGGACGCCAGUUUUCGUGGAGCCAACCUUGGGAUACCGCUCUUAGAGUGCUGAAAUUCUAACCUGCGGCCGUGAAUCCGGCCGGGGGACAUUGUCAGGUGGGCAGUUUGACUGGGGCGGUCGCCUCCAAAAAAGUAACGGAGGCGCUCAAAGGUUCGCUCAGCACGGACGGAAACCGUGCCUUAGAGUGCAAACGCGUAAGCGAGCCUGACUGCGAGACUGACGGGUCGAGCAGGAACGAAAGUUGGAGUUAGUGAUCCGGCGGUAUGUGAAUGGAAAUGCCGUCGCUCAACGGAUAAAAGCUACCCUGGGGAUAACAGGCUGAUCUCCCCCAAGAGUUCACAUCGACGGGGAGGUUUGGCACCUCGAUGUCGGCUCAUCACAUCCUGGGGCUGUAUUCGGUCCCAAGGGUUCGGCUGUUCGCCGAUUAAAGUGGUACGCGAGCUGGGUUCAGAACGU
Molecule: ribosomal RNA, 2635 nt
Filed under: Oscillospiraceae bacterium
Lineage: Bacteria; Bacillati; Bacillota; Clostridia; Eubacteriales; Oscillospiraceae
Description: partial 23S ribosomal RNA
Rfam family: Bacterial large subunit ribosomal RNA
Source: RNAcentral